GGCAGGGCCGUUUUUUCACUUCGCUCCCUAGCUACUUCUCGUCCUACUCCUGUCCAAAACAACUGGAUAGAUAAACGCGAUAUAGCAGGAAGCAUCAAUUAGCCUAUCCACAGGUUAGCAGGAGUCUAUAUCAGGGUAAGGACACGGGAAUAUGGAUUGAAAUUGAACGUUUCCACUAGCCACAAAGCCAGGAUGGCUAUAUCGUAAAAAUCCUGAAAACAAAAAUUGGCUUUUGGGUCAUAAUUUAAGGUUCGGGUUAGGCAUAAGAUUAGCAGUGUGGUUAUGAUAUGGAACGCCGUUUUGGUUUUAAAGCACGUGGUCAAAACGCGAUCUUUUUAAUGCUAUGUGUGUAAAGUAAACAGGUGCAGGCUCUAAAUUAACGCCUACAUGCGUCAAAUAAGCGCGUGCAAAUGUGCUUGCAGGCGGUUUAACAUGUGCUAAAUAAACGACUGCAAGCGGUCCUGCGCACGUCAAAUUAACGCCUACAGCUGCUAUACACCCACACACGCUAAUUUAACGCGUUCUUUAAUAUGCUAAUUUUACUAGCCAAUUUCCCUAGCUUCUCCUUUCAAACAGAUUUCACAGUUUGAAGGAACUUCCUUUUCCACUGCAAACAGAGUUUGAACCUUUACAAGAAGGGAACAUUGAAGGGGAGUUUGGAGUGGGCAAGGGGGAGGCUGAAGACCUGAUUCAUCAAGUAUCAUUUAAUUCAGGUGAUUCUCACCUGGUUGGCAUGCAUGCACAACAUGACAAGGCAAAACGUCUUCAGCCACCGUAGGACGGAGAGCCUCUGGUUGGCAUUUGACGGCAGUGUCUGUACCAGGAAAGGAAGUUAGAAGAUAGGGCCCCAUGAUAUCGAAGUUUCUUACCAUUUCCACUGCAGCCCAGUUGAUAUCGAUUUUAAAAACCUAGAACAAUAGAUUGUGUAGCACAAUGUACAACUCCAGUUUGCCUAUUGUCACAACAAAUGUCAAUUAUACAUUUUUACAUACGUCAGAGUGCAUUUUAUUUUAUAGCUCUGCUUUCAACGCCAUCCUGACCUAGAAACUGGUUAGCAGACUCAGGGUUCUGGGUGUAAAUUCUGUAAUAACAAAUUUAGAUUUUUUUACAUUAUCAUGAGAAUGUGUAUCCCCAGAAUGGACCCGACACUACCAUGGUACACAUAAGUACAUGAAGGAGCUGUGGGACCUGACAUAAUGGUGAUACGUCAACAGUCUCAGCGUAAACAAAACAAAGUAGCUGGUGAUACUUGACCAUUCUCCAGAAAAGCAGAAAAGGAUAUCUCCAUGUCAUCUCCAUGUCAAUGUACAGUAGAUGUACUGUACAUUGACAUGGAGAUGAUCAGCAGCUUCAAGUUCCUGGGCACCCUGAUAUCCUUUUCUGCCCUCAGUUACUUCAAUCAAAGUCCCACUUGUGCUUCUCCACUACCCUUAAACUUGCUGCACCAUGACCUAUGUACCAACUACAGUGUCUUUUGCCAUUACACAUGUAAAUGAAAUGUCCAUAUUUACUGGAAGAUUUAUUUAUGGUAACAUAGUCCCUUGACAUACAUGACUUAACUACUUUGCAUAAUGCUCAGUUUACCCACUAAGAAAUCAUACAUGUAUUAAAAUAUUAAAGCUGCAUUAUGUAUUACUGUGUCCAAUUGAUUCUGGUUGGUUGUAAUGUUUUUGAAAACUUUCACUACACAACUUUAUUUUGCUGAUGGACAAUCCUGUCGGAAACUUUAAUAUCAAUUAUUUUGGGACCCAUCACCAAUUAACAUUGGCUGCAGUAUUCCGAACUUACUAGGUAGUCAUGCAAUAAACGUUUUGUAUAAUUCCCUUUUAAAUUAAUUAUUUAAAUCAAAUAAAAUUGUAUUUGUCACAUGCGCCAAAUACAAGGUGUAGACCUUACAGUGAAAUGCUUACUUACAAGCCCUUAACCAACAAUGCGGUACAAAAAAAAAAAGAUAAGUCAAUAAUUAAAGAGCAUUCAGUAAAAUAGUAGCGAGGCUAUAUACAGGGGAUACCGGUACAGAGAAUGUGCGGGGGCGCCGGUUAGUCAAGUUAAUAAAUACAUGUAGGUAGAGAUAUUAAAGUGACUACGCAUAGAUAGAGUAGCAACAAAUAGUCUGGGUAGCCAUUUAAUUAGAUGUUCAGUAGUCUUAUGGCUUGGGGUUAGAAUCUGUUUAGAAGCCUCUUGGACCUAGACUUGGCACUCCGGUCCUGCUUGCCGUGUGGUAGCAGAGAGAACUGUAGCUGUGGCUCCACUGGCAAUCCCAGCCUAGGAAUGCUGAAGCCCCCGAAGUGAAAAUGAAAACCUCCAUGGUUAAAGGGUAUGUGUUCCCCCCUGAAAACAGGGAAGGGGGGGACAUUAAAGUCCAUAAGUAACACUUGUUGGAGAAC
This 2387-nucleotide long non-coding RNA is filed under the name Salmo salar (Atlantic salmon). RNAcentral describes it as "lncRNA (ENSSSAG00000087727.1)". The record is from RNAcentral. Lineage: Eukaryota; Metazoa; Chordata; Actinopteri; Salmoniformes; Salmonidae.